UUAAGUGAAUAAGGGCGCACGGUGGAUGCCUUGGCACUAGGAGCCGAUGAAGGACGGGACUAAUACCGAUAUGCUUUGGGGAGCUGUAAGUAAGCUAUGAUCCAGAGAUUUCCGAAUGGGGGAACCCAAUAUCUUUUAUAGGAUAUUACUUUUCAGUGAAUACAUAGCUGAUUAGAGGUAGACGCAGAGAACUGAAACAUCUUAGUACCUGCAGGAAGAGAAAGAAAAUUCGAUUCCCUGAGUAGCGGCGAGCGAAACGGGAAGAGCCCAAACCAACAAGCUUGCUUGUUGGGGUUGUAGGACUCCAAUAUGGUAGUCUGUUAGUAUAGUUGAAGGAUUUGGAAAAUUCCGCUAAAGAGGGUGAAAGCCCCGUAGACGAAAUGCUGACAACACCUAGGAGGAUCCUGAGUACGGCGGAACACGAGAAAUUCCGUCGGAAUCCGCGGGGACCAUCCCGCAAGGCUAAAUACUCCCUAGUGACCGAUAGUGAACCAGUACCGUGAGGGAAAGGUGAAAAGCACCCCGGAAGGGGAGUGAAAUAGAUCCUGAAACCGUGUGCUUACAACAAGUCAAAGCUCGUUAAUGAGUGAUGGCGUGCCUUUUGUAGAAUGAACCGGCGAGUUACGAUUGCAUGCGAGGUCUACAACAAGUCAAAGCUCGUUAAUGAGUGAUGGCGUGCCUUUUGUAGAAUGAACCGGCGAGUUACGAUUGCAUGCGAGGUUAAGUCGAAGAGACGGAGCCGCAGCGAAAGCGAGUCUGAAUAGGGCGAAUGAGUAUGUAGUCGUAGACCCGAAACCAUGUGAUCUACCCAUGUCCAGGUUGAAGGUGCGGUAAAACGCACUGGAGGACCGAACCCACGUACGUUGAAAAGUGCGGGGAUGAGGUGUGGGUAGCGGAGAAAUUCCAAACGAACUUGGAGAUAGCUGGUUCUCUCCGAAAUAGCUUUAGGGCUAGCCUCGGAAUUGAGAAUGAUGGAGGUAGAGCACUGUUUGGACUAGGGGCCCAUCUCGGGUUACCGAAUUCAGAUAAACUCCGAAUGCCAUUCAUUUAUAUCCGGGAGUCAGACUGCGAGUGAUAAGAUCCGUAGUCGAAAGGGAAACAGCCCAGACCACCAGCUAAGGUCCCAAAAUAUAUGUUAAGUGGAAAAGGAUGUGGGGUUGCACAGACAACUAGGAUGUUGGCUUAGAAGCAGCCACCAUUUAAAGAGUGCGUAAUAGCUCACUAGUCGAGUGACCCUGCGCCGAAAAUGUACCGGGGCUAAACAUAUUACCGAAGCUGUGGACUACACCAUUAGGUGUAGUGGUAGGAGAGCGUUCUAAGGGCGUUGAAGGUCGAUCGUGAGGACGGCUGGAGCGCUUAGAAGUGAGAAUGCCGGUAUGAGUAGCGAAAGACAGGUGAGAAUCCUGUCCACCGUAUGACUAAGGUUUCCUGGGGAAGGCUCGUCCGCCCAGGGUUAGUCGGGACCUAAGCCGAGGCCGAUAGGCGUAGGCGAUGGACAACAGGUUGAUAUUCCUGUACCAGUUGUUUUUGUUUGAGCAAUGGAGGGACGCAGUAGGCUAAGGAAUGCAUGCGAUUGGAAGUGCAUGUCCAAGCAAUGAGUCUUGAGUAGAGUUAAAUGCUUUACUCUCUAAGGACAAGUUGUGACGGGGAGCGAAAUAAUAGUAGCGAAGUUCCUGAUGUCACACUGCCAAGAAAAGCUUCUAGUGAGAAAACAACUGCCCGUACCGUAAACCGACACAGGUAGUCGAGGAGAGUAUCCUAAGGUGAGCGAGCGAACUCUCGUUAAGGAACUCGGCAAAAUGACCCCGUAACUUCGGGAGAAGGGGUGCUGACUUCGGUCAGCCGCAGUGAAUAGGCCCAAGCGACUGUUUAUCAAAAACACAGGUCUCUGCAAAAUCGUAAGAUGAAGUAUAGGGGCUGACGCCUGCCCGGUGCUGGAAGGUUAAGAGGAUGGGUUAGCUUCGGCGAAGCUCAGAAUUGAAGCCCCAGUAAACGGCGGCCGUAACUAUAACGGUCCUAAGGUAGCGAAAUUCCUUGUCGGGUAAGUUCCGACCCGCACG
This 2060-nucleotide ribosomal RNA is filed under the name Escherichia coli DORA_A_5_14_21. Its description in RNAcentral is "bacterial LSU rRNA". It matches the Rfam family "Bacterial large subunit ribosomal RNA", at positions 1 to 1994 of the family's 2925-position model. The record is from RNAcentral. Lineage: Bacteria; Pseudomonadati; Pseudomonadota; Gammaproteobacteria; Enterobacterales; Enterobacteriaceae.